AUUGAACGCUGGCGGCAGGCCUAACACAUGCAAGUCGAACGGUAACAGGAAGCAGCUUGCUGCUUCGCUGACGAGUGGCGGACGGGUGAGUAAUGUCUGGGAAACUGCCUGAUGGAGGGGGAUAACUAUUGGAAACGGUAGCUAAUACCGCAUAACGUCGCAAGACCAAAGAGGGGGACCUUAGGGCCUCUUGCCAUCGGAUGUGCCCAGAUGGGAUUAGCUAGUAGGUGGGGUAACGGCUCACCUAGGCGACGAUCCCUAGCUGGUCUGAGAGGAUGACCAGCCACACUGGAACUGAGACACGGUCCAGACUCCUACGGGAGGCAGCAGUGGGGAAUAUUGCACAAUGGGCGCAAGCCUGAUGCAGCCAUGCCGCGUGUAUGAAGAAGGCCUUCGGGUUGUAAAGUACUUUCAGCGGGGAGGAAGGGAGUAAAGUUAAUACCUUUGCUCAUUGACGUUACCCGCAGAAGAAGCACCGGCUAACUCCGUG
Molecule: ribosomal RNA, 490 nt
Filed under: uncultured bacterium
Lineage: Bacteria
Description: partial 16S ribosomal RNA
Rfam family: Bacterial small subunit ribosomal RNA
Source: RNAcentral